GUAACUCUGGUACGAGUGUUACAAUCGCGUGUUAAUAAAAUAUACUCUGGUGUAGAGUUGUUUACUUCAUCCGGGGUAUUGAUGAAGCUUGCGAGGAGAAAGACAGAUGGACGCCAUUACAUUUUCCAAUAUCGCGGGGAAAGUCAAAGGAUCAACGGAUUUGAAGUUAUUUGAGGAAUCUGACACAGCUAUUGACAACGUGUUUCCCUGGAGUCCCACCCAGCCCGCUGAAGCAGCCUUCCCAGCCCAGACUUCCCAGCCCAGACUUCCCUUCCCAGGCUCAUCAGUCCGAUGGUGCAGAGAUGGCUAAAAGGCCAAAGGAGGAUUCCGGUUGUUCUGGAGAACAGUGCAGGAGGACAGGAAAUAAUGGAGGAGGAGUAUAGGAGAUCCAGCACCUGCACUCAUGGCACGUUUUGAAGAGGCAGCGAAGGACACGAAGGACACACAGGAUCGCCAGCCAUACCUCCUUGCACUUCCAGGGUCCCAUGUGAAGCCCAUCAAUUGGCGAUGGAUUGAUACUGGCACACAGUAGGGCCAGUUACGCUGGUGGGCCUGCCCUGGGCUGGGCUGGACCUAAAGGUACUAACGGUGUUUUCACCGACAGGUGGUUAGAUGCGAAAGGGGGCUGGUGGCCCAGGUUUCGGGGC
Long non-coding RNA from Engraulis encrasicolus (European anchovy), 647 nucleotides. RefSeq lists it as uncharacterized. The transcript has 5 exons. The record is from RefSeq and is a predicted model, not a curated record. Lineage: Eukaryota; Metazoa; Chordata; Actinopteri; Clupeiformes; Engraulidae.